GGCGGGGUCUGCCGGCCGGAAGCCGCUGCUCCUCUGCCUCGGAGUGGCGGUGCGGUGUCUGCAGGGACCCGAAAAAUUAUGGCUGCCUUGGGGGAAACAAACUGUGCGUAACACUCCAGCUGGAGGCUGGGAGAAUUAAUUCCACUUUCAGUUUGGGCAGAGAUCAUUUCUCUUCUGGCGCCGAGGGCAGUCAGGGUGGGGCCGGCAGGGUGCCGGAGGUGCCACUGUCUGCAGAAGCAGGCCGUGCUGACCCCGGAGCGGCGCUGAGCCUGGUACUGACCUCGUGCAGGACAGGAACGUCAGCUGAUGACGCACAGGGAAGUGGCCCCAGGAGAAAGCUGCCGGCGUCAAUUUUCAGGUACAGAUUCGGAACUUCAGUCGUAGGAGAGCUGUGUCUUUGACGACCGAGCGGAGAGUGUGCUCAAGGAAGCGAAUGUGAAGUCCUAAGUGCAGCAGUCUGCGAAUCUCUAAGGAAGUCAGCCGCUCUUGUCACAAAGUCGAAACAAGAAGAGAAAGAGAACAUGUUGUUUGGAAUUCAUGCUCACAGAAGCAAACAAGGGAAAGGUAAACAAAACUAAAACAUCGAAUUAUAAAGUGAUUUAUAAUUUUUAAAACUGAAGCUUCAAUCUUCUGUAAAAUUUAAGGCCCGAAGUAUGUUUACUAUUAAUAUCUGAUCACAGGUGUUGCAAAAUACUAGACUUUCAUGAAUAAGGGGAGUUGGAUGCAUGCUAACUUUCGUGCAACAUCUAGAAAACCUGCUUUUGGAUGUGGUUGGACACAGUAAAGCACUUCGAAGGCUGAGUAUGUUAUGGUCGGCCAGGUGUGAAGUAUUCGGUACAGUAGAGAGCACUGGGUGAGAUGAAGACAACCAGGCCUCUUGGAGAAGUCAAACAUGCAGCUUCAGCCACCCCGGGAGGUGAUCUGUCCAUGUGAGUGACAACCUGGGACACUGGGCAGGCAGUCAGAUGACCCAGACAGCAUUGGACAGUCCAGAGGAGUGACAGCUUGUUUUGGAUGUGGGCCAUGUGACAGUGUGUCACGCAUAUGUGUGUGGGGUUUCUCGUGUGUUUAAACAGGGAGAAAAACAUCCUGUCCCUACAGAUUUGAUGAAAACAAGACCCAGUGCAAGCGCAUUUUUGCUUCCUGACAGUACUGGUUUUGCUAUUGUCAAUGCAAAUUCCAU
This 1183-nucleotide long non-coding RNA is filed under the name Chinchilla lanigera (long-tailed chinchilla). Its description in RNAcentral is "lncRNA (ENSCLAG00000023792.1)". The record is from RNAcentral. Lineage: Eukaryota; Metazoa; Chordata; Mammalia; Rodentia; Chinchillidae.